GAAAUGCGAUAAGUAGUGUGAAUUGCAGAAUUCAGUGAAUCAUCGAAUCUUUGAACGCACAUUGCGCCCCUUGGUAUUCCAUGGGGCAUGCCUGUUCGAGCGUCAUCUACACCCUCAAGCUCUGCUUGGUGUUGGGCGUCUUUGUCCCGCCUCCGCGCGCGGACUCGCCCCAAAUUCAUUGGCAGCGGUCCUUGCCUCCUCUCGCGCAGCACAUUGCGCUUCUCGAGGUGUUGCGGCCCGCGUCCAGAAAGCAAUCGUUACCGUCUUUGACCUCGGAUCGGGUAGGGAUACCCGCUGAACUUAAGC
RNAcentral lists this unclassified non-coding RNA (306 nucleotides) under plant metagenome. RNAcentral describes it as "partial contains 5.8S ribosomal RNA, internal transcribed spacer 2, and large subunit ribosomal RNA". The stretch from base 1 to 105 matches the Rfam family "5.8S ribosomal RNA", at positions 50 to 154 of the family's 154-position model. The record is from RNAcentral.